GAGGAUUAUGGAAUGGAAGGAAUCAGCUGGCAUAAUAGGGAUUAUCAUGAUAAUAGCUGUUGUAUGCAUCUCAUUAGCACAAAACCAACAGGACUCUGCAGUUUGGAUGAAGAAAGCAAGAUCUCUGGGAGAACACAGAUCACAUGCUCCCAGGCAUUGUUGCCUCUCUAAGGAGCAACAAGAAUGCAUUUCUCUCUGGGAUGACUGGAAUUGGUUCCAUUGCUGUUUACCAAUGGGCAGUUCUCUGAGCUUUUUUCAGAGCUGUGGUUGCACUCAGGGAAGCUGGGAAAAGACACAUCCAGAGGAAAACUGGUAAGCAGUAGUUAUUCACGUUCAGCCAUGCUUUAUCUUUGACUUUUUACCUCUACUCCAUCUCAAGGAGUCAAGUCAUAAUAAUGUUUACCUUUUUCUCUUACUGUAUGCUAGCAUCAUGUUUUAGUUCUGAUAAGUUGUUACAUGAGCAAUGUAUGUGUGCCAUGUGUGUUGUGUAUGUAUUGAUGCAUUUUUAUUAAUACAGGAUGAUAGAAGUAAGUGCAAAGCCUCUUGUGUGUAGCAGGGAUUUGGAUGGGGCACCCUCUAUAGGUGAAAAAGAGACUGCAUCCCCAGCAGGCGUCCCGGCCUCUGCGUGGGUUCCAUCUGCUGGUGAAGCAGAACUGCCUCCAGGUCACAGACAAUAAGGAAAUUUUGGGAUGUCAGGAAGGCAGGCACAAACAACCCAAAUUAGGAAGACUGGGAAACAUUCCGGAUCCUUCCAUCAGCAGCUAUGUGUGCUGUAGUCUAGAGAGCAUCAAGAACUUUCAUGGCCUCACCCAGUGAACAAAAUAAGGUGUCAGAAAUGGAUCAUAUAGCAACUGAUCCAUGUAAAUUUAAAAUAGCUAUUCCUUGAAGAGAAAUAAUAAUUUUAUUUGAAAGGUGGAGUAUCAUAGAGACAGACACAGAGAGAUCUUCCAUGUGCUUGUUCACUCCCCAAAUUCCCAAGGACCCAGGGCUAGACCAGGAUGAAGCCAGGAGCCCAGAAAUACAUCUGUGUCUCCAACUGGGACACAGUACUUGAGGGUCCCAUGUACUUGAGCCGUUAUCUGCUGCCUCUCAGGAUACACAUUAUUAAAAAUUGGGUUGGAAUUGGAGUAGCCAGGACUCAGACAUAGCAUUCUGAUGUGGGAUGCAGGGAACCUAAGCUACAGCUAAAGCGUCUGCCCAAUGCCUGCCCCUAAAAUAGUUAUUGUUGUUUUGUUAAAUAUUUGUUUAUAUUUUAAAUAUUUACUUAGUUGAAAAGCAGUUACAGAGGGAGAGAAGAAGAGAUAGAGAAGAGAGAAGAGAGAAGAGAGAGAGAGAGAGGUCUUCCAUCUGCUAGUUCAGUCCCCAAUUGGCCGCAACAACCAGAGCUGCACUGAUAUGAAGCCAGGACCCAGGACCUUCCUCCGUGUCUUCCCAUGUGAGUGCAGGGGCCCAAGGACUUGGGCCACCUUCUACUGCUUUCCCAGGCCAGAUAGCUGGAUCAGAAGAGGAGCGGCCAGGUCUCGAACCGGCAUCGAUAUGGGAUUUUGGCACUCAGGUGGCAGCUUGUGUACAUAUAUGCAGUUGUACAAGGGACUUCACAAAGUUCAUAGAUCAUACGCAUUACCUUUUAAUUCCAUUUUCCCCACAAGCUCGUAUAUACAAUGAAUGUUUAAUGGAUUUAAGAGUUGUGCACUGUCAGAGCUAUUGUCAGGAACCCCGGUGUUCUAAUGAUUCUUAUCAGUGUCGUUGUGUAAGUUCCUCAGCUGCAUACUUUUCUGAGUCGAAUUACUAUUUCAUAAAGUUUCAUAUAUUAUUUUUCAUAUGGCUAACAUCAUUAGGCACAGUUAAACUUCUGGCACUUGGGAGAUGUUUCAUUUCCUUUUGACUUUUACUAUUCAUAAAGAGUAACUCAAGGUGGAGGGCUCCAAGAUGGCAGAAUAGGUAGGGAGCUCACUGAUAAUCCAGGAAAUAUAGUUUAAUAAAAGUGGAUAGUGUAGUCUGAGGGAAUAGUUA
Oryctolagus cuniculus (rabbit) is the source of this 2013-nucleotide long non-coding RNA. The record is from Ensembl. NCBI's taxonomy places the organism in Eukaryota, Metazoa, Chordata, Mammalia, Lagomorpha, Leporidae.